GAGCUUGAUCCUGGCUCAGGAUGAACGCUAGCGGCAGGCUUAACACAUGCAAGUCGAGGGGUAUUAGUUUUCGGACUAAGAGACCGGCGCACGGGUGCGUAACGCGUAUGCAAUCUACCUUUUACAGAGGGAUAGCCCAGAGAAAUUUGGAUUAAUACCUCAUAGUAUAAUGACUCGGCAUCGAGAUAUUAUUAAAGUCACAACGGUAAAAGAUGAGCAUGCGUCCCAUUAGCUAGUUGGUAAGGUAACGGCUUACCAAGGCUACGAUGGGUAGGGGUCCUGAGAGGGAGAUCCCCCACACUGGUACUGAGACACGGACCAGACUCCUACGGGAGGCAGCAGUGAGGAAUAUUGGACAAUGGGCGCAAGCCUGAUCCAGCCAUGCCGCGUGCAGGAUGACGGUCCUAUGGAUUGUAAACUGCUUUUAUACGAGAAGAAACACUGCUUCGUGAAGCAGCUGACGGAUC
Molecule: ribosomal RNA, 467 nt
Filed under: Flavobacterium sp. 01WB04.1-38
Lineage: Bacteria; Pseudomonadati; Bacteroidota; Flavobacteriia; Flavobacteriales; Flavobacteriaceae
Description: bacterial SSU rRNA
Rfam family: Bacterial small subunit ribosomal RNA
Source: RNAcentral